UACGAAGGGGGCUAGCGUUGUUCGGAAUUACUGGGCGUAAAGCGUGCGCAGGCGGCUUCUCAAGUCAGGGGUGAAAGCCCAGAGCUCAACUCUGGAAUUGCCUUUGAGACUGAGUGGCUUGAGUACGAGAGAGGUGAGUGGAAUUCCCAGUGUAGAGGUGAAAUUCGUAGAUAUUGGGAAGAACACCGGUGGCGAAGGCGGCUACACUGGCUCGUAACUGACGCUCAUGCACGACAGCGUGGGGAUCAAACAGG
RNAcentral lists this ribosomal RNA (254 nucleotides) under uncultured bacterium. Its description in RNAcentral is "partial 16S ribosomal RNA". It matches the Rfam family "Bacterial small subunit ribosomal RNA", at positions 524 to 776 of the family's 1533-position model. The record is from RNAcentral.